AUUGAACGCUGGCGGCAGGCCUAACACAUGCAAGUCGAACGGAGCAGCGGACGGGGGCGGAAGGCUUAGGAAUGUGCCUGGUAGUGGGGGAUGACGUCCGGUACCGGGCGCUAAUGCCAAAACCUAUCAGAUGAGCCUAGGUCGGAUUAGGUAGUGGGUGGGGUAAAGGCAUACCAAGGCGACGAUCCGUAACUGGUCUGAGAGGAUGAUCAGCCACACUGGAACUGAGACACGGUCCAGACUCCUACGGGAGGCAGCAGUGGGGAAUAUUGGACAAUGGGGGCAAGCCUGAUCCAGCCAUGCCGCGUGAGUGAAGAAGGCCUUCGGGUUGUAAAGUACUUUAAGUUGGGAGGCGUUACCAACAGAAUAAGCACCGGCUAACUCCGUGCCAGCAGCCGCGGUAAUUC
RNAcentral lists this ribosomal RNA (407 nucleotides) under uncultured bacterium. RNAcentral's name for it is "partial 16S ribosomal RNA". It matches the Rfam family "Bacterial small subunit ribosomal RNA", at positions 30 to 526 of the family's 1533-position model. The record is from RNAcentral.